UUGACUUGCUUGGAUUAUGAUGGUUUGUGAAAAAUUAACAGAGCUUUUAAACUGAAGGGUUGCAACAAGAACUGAGUUUUUGUGUUUGGGUUCUUUCCUCAGCUGAAAUGAACAGCAUCCAACCUGAUACAAAUAGGCUGCAUCACUUAAGCAUUAUAUGAAACAAAAAAAUGCAACGUCAUCAUCAGGUGGACAAGGAUGCUGUCUGAGGAACUGCUCAGUUAAGAAGUCCUAUUCUCAGUCACUUUGACUGAUUUCCAGAUGAGCUUCUGCUUGAUGGCUCUUUAGUUGCAAACUACUUAAAGGCACAACAGUACAGGCUUGCUGUGAGGUGGGGAUGGUUCAUGAAGGCAGCAGCAAAGGUUUAACCAGUCUCUGAGACUGCUCUGCACUCGCUGGUUUUGCUUCUGUUUGGAUUAUAAUGUCAAAGGACAUGAAUACCAAAGCACACACAGUCAAAAGAAGUUAGAGGAUUGAAGAUUUGACUGCUUGAGGAGGGAAUAAUGGAGCUUAGUUACCUGAAACGCAAGCUAGAUGGUGCUAGAGCACACAAUUAUAUGAUCAGCUAACAGCUGUGUGAAAUUAAAAUAUAAUAUUAAAAAGGAGCUAGAAUAAGAGAAGCUCUUCAGAGUUAAAGGCCUUCUAACAUCUGAAUUUGCCUUUAAUAUUUUUUCUGACUGUGUAGAAGUGGCUUCUGCUUUCCCGACCUUCUCAUAAAGCCUUGCCAAAAGGUACAGAAACCCGCCUAUGGUGUUCUCACAUUGAGCAGAUGAAUGCAGAUGAUCUUGCUUUGUUAUUGAUUUGAAAUGAGGAGACACUCAUUUGGACAGAAAUCCUGUAUGUGCUCUGACUGCACACUCAGCAACUCUGAAUUGGUGCAGCUUUGUUGGCAUGGGGCAGAUACACCAACGUGUUGGUGGAGAGGUGAGAUUUGAUUGAUAGAGCUCUGGGUGGUAAGUCAGGAGAUGCAUCUUUCUGGCCUUUCCCUUGACUUGCUCUUUGGUCUUCUGCAGGACUUUGUUUCUCCUUUCCUUCACUUACAGAUGGUGUGAAGACAUUCUCUGUGAUGUGUGUAUGACUCAGUGUAGCAGAAGGAGUAAAACUGGGAAAGCUGAAUAAGUUCAGUGCAU
Coturnix japonica (Japanese quail) is the source of this 1130-nucleotide long non-coding RNA. The record is from Ensembl. NCBI's taxonomy places the organism in Eukaryota, Metazoa, Chordata, Aves, Galliformes, Phasianidae.